GACAGAGGGGGCAAGCGUUGCUCGGAAUCACUGGGCGUAAAGGGCGCGUAGGCGGGAUGGCAAGUCGGUCGUGAAAUCCUUCGGCUCAACCGAAGAACGUCGGCCGAUACUGCCGUUCUUGAGGGAUGCAGAGGAGAUUGGAAUUCCCGGUGUAGCGGUGAAAUGUGUAGAGAUCGGGAGGAACACCGGUGGCGAAGGCGGGUCUCUGGGCAUCUCCUGACGCUGAGGCGCGAAAGCUAGGGGAGCAAACGGG
Molecule: ribosomal RNA, 253 nt
Filed under: uncultured bacterium
Lineage: Bacteria
Description: partial 16S ribosomal RNA
Rfam family: Bacterial small subunit ribosomal RNA
Source: RNAcentral